This 108-nucleotide small nucleolar RNA is filed under the name Gossypium hirsutum (cotton). RNAcentral describes it as "Plant small nucleolar RNA R71". It matches the Rfam family "Plant small nucleolar RNA R71". From Rfam's summary of the family: R71 is a member of the C/D box family of snoRNAs containing the C (UGAUGA) and D (CUGA) box motifs. Multiple nearly identical copies of this snoRNA have been identified in Arabidopsis, and it is thought to function as a 2'-O-ribose methylation guide for 18S ribosomal RNA. Lineage: Eukaryota; Viridiplantae; Streptophyta; Magnoliopsida; Malvales; Malvaceae. The record is from Rfam by way of RNAcentral.
AAUCUAUGGUACAGGCAUUUUUUGAAUCAACAUUUUGAAUCAUUCUCAUGCCUCAUAAAAACUUUCUUCUACCAUCUAUCUAAAGACAAAAAUCUCUCUUCUUAGUUG